This 1044-nucleotide ribosomal RNA is filed under the name Candidatus Phytoplasma citri. RNAcentral's name for it is "bacterial SSU rRNA". It matches the Rfam family "Bacterial small subunit ribosomal RNA", at positions 219 to 1272 of the family's 1533-position model. Lineage: Bacteria; Bacillati; Mycoplasmatota; Mollicutes; Acholeplasmatales; Acholeplasmataceae. The record is from RNAcentral.
UUUAGGAGGGGCUUGCGCCAUAUUAGUUAGUUGGUAGGGUAAGGGCCUACCAAAACAAUGAUGUGUAGCUGGACUGAGAGGUUGAACAGCCACAUUGGGACUGAAACACGGCCCAAACUCCUACGGGAGGCGACAAUAGGGAAUUUUCGGCAAUGGAGGAAACUCUGACCGAUCAACGCCGCGUGAAUGACGAAGUACUUCGGUAUGGAAAGUUCUUUUAUCAAGGAACAAAAGCAAAUGGCGAACCAUUUGUUUGCCGGUACUUGAUGAAUAACCCCCGGCUAAUUAUGUGCCAUCAGCCGCGGUAAGACAUAAGGGGCAAGUGUUAUCCGGAAUUAUUGGGCGUAGAGGGUGCCUAGGCGGUCUACUACGUCAAUGUUGUAAUGGCAACCCUUAACAUUGUCCGGCUAUUGAACCUGCUAAACUUGGAUUAGAUAGAGGCGAGUGGAAUUCCAUGUGUAGCGGUAAAAUGCGUAAAUAUAGGGAGGAACACCAAAGGCGUAGGCGGCUCGCUGGGUCUUAACUGACGCUGAGGCACGAAAGCGUGGGGAGCAAACAUGAUUAGAUACCCUGGUAGUCCACGCCGUAAACGAUGAGUACUCUUGUCGGGUUAAACCGGUACUGAAGUUAACACAUUAAGUACUCCACCUGAGUAGUACAUACCCAAGUAUGAAACUUAAAGGAAUUGACGGGACUCCGCACAAGCGGUGGAUCAUGUUGUUUAUUCGAAGAUACCCAAAUAACCUUACCGGGUCUUGACUUGUUUUUACAGAAUGACAGAAAUAUCGAGGAGGUUACCAGAAACACGGGUGGUGCGUGGUUGACUUCAGCUCGUGUCGAGAAACGUUACGUUAAGUCCUAAGCCGAGCAACCCCUUAUCGUUAGGGGCCACCUUGUUGAGCGCGGGACUUGAGGGAGACUGCCUGUGAUCAACUGAGGGAAGGUGAGGAUCACGUCAAACCAGCAUGCCCCUUAUGACCUGGGCUACAAGCUGUCUAUGAUGUCUGUACCAAAGAGUAGCUGAAACCCAUGUUCCUGGACGAU